UGACCACUUUCUUUAUUGAAAGGAAAGGCCAUACGGACAGCCGGGUCAAAUGCCGA
RNAcentral lists this small RNA (56 nucleotides) under [Clostridium] cellulosi. Its description in RNAcentral is "Clostridium cellulosi Streptococcus sRNA SpF59 (ldcC RNA)". It matches the Rfam family "Streptococcus sRNA SpF59 (ldcC RNA)". Lineage: Bacteria; Bacillati; Bacillota; Clostridia; Eubacteriales; Oscillospiraceae. The record is from Rfam by way of RNAcentral.